UUUUGACUUUUUCAACUACGCGGGACUGCAGCGGUCUGUACUUCUGUACACGACACCCACCACCUACAUCGAUGACAUCACCGUCACCACCGGCGUGGAGCAUGACAGUGGGCUGGUGAAUUACCAGAUCUCUGUCAAGGGCAGUAACCUGUUCGAGUUGGAAGCGCGUCUUUUGGAUGCAGAAAACAAAGUCGUGGCGAACGGGACUGGGACCCAGGGCCAGCUGAAGGUGCCGGGUGCCAGCCUCUGGUGGCCAUACCUGAUGCACGAACGCCCCGCCUAUCUGUACUCCUUGGAGAUCCGAGGGAAGGGCUUCGACUGGCCGCUGCUGGUGAAGGACUUCAACCUGCUUCGCUGGCUUGGUGCCAACGCCUUCCGUACCAGCCACUACCCCUACGCGGAGGAAGUGCUGCAGAUGUGUGACCGCCAUGGGAUUGUGGUCAUCGAUGAGUGUCCCGGCGUGGGCCUGGCGCUGCCGCAGUUCUUCAACAACGUGUCUCUGCAUCACCACAUGCGGGUGAUGGAGGAAGUGGUGCGUAGGGACAAGAACCACCCCGCGGUUGUGAUGUGGUCUGUGGCCAAUGAGCCCGCGUCCCACCUAGAAUCUGCGGGCUACUACUUGAAG
This 625-nucleotide small RNA is filed under the name Pongo abelii (Sumatran orangutan). RNAcentral's name for it is "processed transcript". The record is from RNAcentral. Lineage: Eukaryota; Metazoa; Chordata; Mammalia; Primates; Hominidae.